CCGCGCUUUGCUAACAUGGCUGAAUUAUGACGAGCCGAGUUGCGGUCAGUCUGCUCAAGCCGGGUCCUGCGCGGCAGGACUCCCGAACCGUGUCAGGACCGAGAGGUAGCAGCACUAAGGCGAUCACCCUGGGCGCCGCAGGGGCUCCCGGUUUGAGCAGAGUGUCCACAACCGGCUCGCCGUAUUUUGCGG
RNAcentral lists this signal recognition particle RNA (192 nucleotides) under Anaerolineae bacterium. RNAcentral's name for it is "signal recognition particle sRNA large type". It matches the Rfam family "Bacterial large signal recognition particle RNA". From Rfam's summary of the family: The signal recognition particle (SRP) is a universally conserved ribonucleoprotein involved in the co-translational targeting of proteins to membranes. The record is from RNAcentral. Lineage: Bacteria; Bacillati; Chloroflexota; Anaerolineae.